GCCCCUGUAGCGCAAUGGUAGCGCGUGAGACUGUUCAUCUCAAGGUUGCGGGUUCGAGCCCCGCCAGGGGUU
Molecule: transfer RNA, 72 nt
Filed under: Stachybotrys chartarum IBT 7711
Lineage: Eukaryota; Fungi; Ascomycota; Sordariomycetes; Hypocreales; Stachybotryaceae
Also listed under: 3 other names
Description: tRNA-Asn (GTT) (tRNA-Asn-GTT-1-1)
Rfam family: tRNA
About the family: Transfer RNA (tRNA) molecules are approximately 80 nucleotides in length. Their secondary structure includes four short double-helical elements and three loops (D, anti-codon, and T loops). Further hydrogen bonds mediate the characteristic L-shaped molecular structure. tRNAs have two regions of fundamental functional importance: the anti-codon, which is responsible for specific mRNA codon recognition, and the 3' end, to which the tRNAs corresponding amino acid is attached (by aminoacyl-tRNA synthetases). tRNAs cope with the degeneracy of the genetic code in two manners: having more than one tRNA (with a specific anti-codon) for a particular amino acid; and 'wobble' base-pairing, i.e. permitting non-standard base-pairing at the 3rd anti-codon position.
Source: RNAcentral